Molecule: ribosomal RNA, 500 nt
Filed under: uncultured bacterium
Lineage: Bacteria
Description: partial 16S ribosomal RNA
Rfam family: Bacterial small subunit ribosomal RNA
Source: RNAcentral
AUUGAACGCUGGCGGCAUGCCUUACACAUGCAAGUCGAACGGCAGCACGGGAGCAAUCCUGGUGGCGAGUGGCGAACGGGUGAGUAAAGUAUCGGAACGUGCCCAGUCGUGGGGGAUAACGUAGCGAAAGUUACGCUAAUACCGCAUACGAUCUAUGGAUGAAAGCGGGGGAUCGCAAGACCUCGCGCGAUUGGAGCGGCCGAUAUCAGAUUAGGUAGUUGGUGGGGUAAAGGCUCACCAAGCCGACGAUCUGUAGCUGGUCUGAGAGGACGACCGGCCACACUGGGACUGAGACACGGCCCAGACUCCUACGGGAGGCAGCAGUGGGGAAUUUUGGACAAUGGGCGAAAGCCUGAUCCAGCCAUGCCGCGAGCAGGAUGAAGGCCUUCGGGUUGUAAACUGCUUUUGUACGGAACGAAAAGGUUUGGCCUAAUAAGCUGAGCUCAUGACGGUACCGUAAGAAUAAGCACCGGCUAACUACGUGCCAGCCGCCGCCGCGG